This is a long non-coding RNA of Pygocentrus nattereri (red-bellied piranha), 235 nucleotides long. RefSeq lists it as uncharacterized. The record is from RefSeq and is a predicted model, not a curated record. NCBI's taxonomy places the organism in Eukaryota, Metazoa, Chordata, Actinopteri, Characiformes, Serrasalmidae. The transcript is spliced from 2 exons.
GUAUGUGUGUGUGCUGCUUAACAUCUCCCUGCAGAGGAAGAUAAAGUACAUUCUGUUGCUUUCUUGGUCCGAGGAAAGCGCAGCUUAUCUCUGCAGUAAAACCUGGCAAGCGUAACCCCCUUCACCACUGUUCUCACACCAUGUUCAGACACCUAAUUCAGGGAAUACGUCUUUGCGAAGAGAAGGAAUGUGACCUUCAUGUUCCACAUUGUCUCAAAUAAACCAUUAGCAGUAA